CGCUGGCGGCGUGCCUAAUACAUGCAAGUAGAACGCUGAAGAGAGGAGCUUGCUCUUCUUGGAUGAGUUGCGAACGGGUGAGUAACGCGUAGGUAACCUGCCUUGUAGCGGGGGAUAACUAUUGGAAACGAUAGCUAAUACCGCAUAACAAUGGAUGACACAUGUCAUUUAUUUGAAAGGGGCAAUUGCUCCACUACAAGAUGGACCUGCGUUGUAUUAGCUAGUAGGUGAGGUAAUGGCUCACCUAGGCGACGAUACAUAGCCGACCUGAGAGGGUGAUCGGCCACACUGGGACUGAGACACGGCCCAGACUCCUACGGGAGGCAGCAGUAGGGAAUCUUCGGCAAUGGGGGCAACCCUGACCGAGCAACGCCGCGUGAGUGAAGAAGGUUUUCGGAUCGUAAAGCUCUGUUGUAAGUCAAGAACGGGUGUGAGAGUGGAAAGUUCACACUGUGACGGUAGCUUACCAGAAAGGGACGGCUAACUACGUGCCAGCAGCCGCGGUAAUACGUAGGUCCCGAGCGUUGUCCGGAUUUAUUGGGCGUAAAGCGAGCGCAGGCGGUUUGAUAAGUCUGAAGUUAAAGGCUGUGGCUCAACCAUACUUCGCUUUGGAAACUGUCAAACUUGAGUGCAGAAGGGGAGAGUGGAAUUCCAUGUGUAGCGGUGAAAUGCGUAGAUAUAUGGAGGAACACCGGUGGCGAAAGCGGCUCUCUGGUCUGUAACUGACGCUGAGGCUCGAAAGCGUGGGGAGCGAACAGGAUUAGAUACCCUGGUAGUCCACGCCGUAAACGAUGAGUGCUAGGUGUUGGAUCCUUUCCGGGAUUCAGUGCCGCAGCUAACGCAUUAAGCACUCCGCCUGGGGAGUACGACCGCAAGGUUGAAACUCAAAGGAAUUGACGGGGGCCCGCACAAGCGGUGGAGCAUGUGGUUUAAUUCGAAGCAACGCGAAGAACCUUACCAGGUCUUGACAUCCCGAUGCUAUUUCUAGAGAUAGAAAGUUACUUCGGUACAUCGGUGACAGGUGGUGCAUGGUUGUCGUCAGCUCGUGUCGUGAGAUGUUGGGUUAAGUCCCGCAACGAGCGCAACCCCUAUUGUUAGUUGCCAUCAUUCAGUUGGGCACUCUAGCGAGACUGCCGGUAAUAAACCGGAGGAAGGUGGGGAUGACGUCAAAUCAUCAUGCCCCUUAUGACCUGGGCUACACACGUGCUACAAUGGUUGGUACAACGAGUUGCGAGUCGGUGACGGCGAGCUAAUCUCUUAAAGCCAAUCUCAGUUCGGAUUGUAGGCUGCAACUCGCCUACAUGAAGUCGGAAUCGCUAGUAAUCGCGGAUCAGCACGCCGCGGUGAAUACGUUCCCGGGCCUUGUACACACCGCCCGUCACACCACGAGAGUUUGUAACACCCGAAGUCGGUGAGGUAACCUUUUGGAGCCAGCCGCCUAAGGUGGGACAGAUGA
This 1456-nucleotide ribosomal RNA is filed under the name Streptococcus thermophilus. Its description in RNAcentral is "bacterial SSU rRNA". It matches the Rfam family "Bacterial small subunit ribosomal RNA". Lineage: Bacteria; Bacillati; Bacillota; Bacilli; Lactobacillales; Streptococcaceae. The record is from RNAcentral.